AUGCAUACUAUUUGAAAGCUCUUAAAGUACGUCGCGUUAUCAAAAAUGAAUUUGAUGCAGCCUUCUCCAAGGUUGAUUUGUUAUUGGCUCUAUCAGCUCCUAUCACAGCGUAUAAGUUUGGUGAAAAAAUCAAUGACCCAUUAGCUAUGUACUUAGAAGAUAUUUGUACAGUUCCAGCUAACUUAGCAGGUAUUCCUGGUAUUAGCAUUCCUGCAGGCAUGAGUAGCGAUAAUUGGGGUGAGAAUCCCCAACGCCGUAAACCCAAGGUUUCCUACGCGAUGCUCGUCAUCGUAGGGUUAGCCGGGUCCUAAGCAAAGUCCGAAAGGGGUAUGCGAUGGAAAAUCGGUUAAUAUUCCAAUGCCAACUAUAAUGUGCGAUGGAAGGACGCUUAGAGUUAGAGGAGCCAGCGGAUGGUAGUGCUGGUCGAAAGGUGCAGGUUGGAGUUCAGGCAAAUCCGAACUCCUUUAAGCCGAGGCCUUACAGGUGCGUGAAGUUCUUCGGAAUGAAUCGUAAAUCCUUGAUACUGUCGAGCCAAGAAAAGUUUCUAAGUUUAGUUAUAGUUGCCCGUACCGUAAACCGACACAGGUGGGUGGGAUGAGUAUUCUAAGGCGCGUGGAAGAACUCUCUUCAAGGAACUCUGCAAAAUAGCACCGUAUCUUCGGUAUAAGGUGUGCCUAACUUUGUGAAGGAUUUACUCCGUAAGCAUUGAAGGUUACAACAAAGAGUCCCUCCCGACUGUUUACCAAAAACACAGCACUCUGCUAACUCGUAAGAGGAUGUAUAGGGUGUGACGCCUGCCCGGUGCUCGAAGGUUAAUUGAUGACGUUAGCUCUGCGAAGCGUUUGAUCGAAGCCCGAGUAAACGGCGGCCGUAACUAUAACGGUCCUAAGGUAGCGAAAUUCCUUGUCGGUUAAAUACCGACCUGCAUGAAUGGCGUAACGAGAUGGGAGCUGUCUCGAAGAGGGAUCCAGUGAAAUUGUAGUGGAGGUGAAAAUUCCUCCUACCCGCGGCAAGACGGAAAGACCCCGUGGACCUUUACUACAGCUUGACACUGCUAUUGGGAUAAAAAUGUGCAGGAUAGGCGGGAGGCUUUGAUCCAUAGACGCCAGUUUAUGGUGAGCCAUUGUUGAGAUACCGCUCUUUUUUAUUCUGAUAGCUAACUAGCUUGAGUUAUCCUCAAGUAGGACAAUGUCUGGUGGGUAGUUUGACUGGGGCGGUCGCCUCCCAAAAUGUAACGGAGGCUUACAAAGGUUGGCUCAGAACGGUUGGAAAUCGUUCGUAGAGUAUAAAGGCAUAAGCCAGCUUAACUGCGAGACAUACACGUCAAGCAGAGACGAAAGUCGGUCUUAGUGAUCCGGUGGUUCUGUGUGGAAGGGCCAUCGCUCAAAGGAUAAAAGGUACCCCGGGGAUAACAGGCUGAUCUCCCCCAAGAGCUCACAUCGACGGGGAGGUUUGGCACCUCGAUGUCGGCUCAUCGCAUCCUGGGGCUGGAGCAGGUCCCAAGGGUAUGGCUGUUCGCCAUUUAAAGCGGUACGCGAGCUGGGUUCAGAACGUCGUGAGACAGUUCGGUCCCUAUCCUCCGCAGGCGCAAGAGGAUUGAGGAGGUCUGCCCCUAGUACGAGAGGACCGGGGUGGACGGACCUCUGGUGCAGCAGUUGUCGACCAACGGCACGGCUGCCUAGCUACGUCCGGCACGGAUAACCGCUGAAAGCAUCUAAGUGGGAAGCCGUCUCCAAGAUGAGUCCUCUUUCCGGUAAGGGCCCAGGCAGAACACCUGGUCGAUAGGCCGCAGGUGCAAGGCGUGCGAGCGCCUCAGCCGAGCGGUACUAAUAGCCCGAGCUCUUCU
RNAcentral lists this ribosomal RNA (1846 nucleotides) under human gut metagenome. Its description in RNAcentral is "bacterial LSU rRNA". It matches the Rfam family "Bacterial large subunit ribosomal RNA". The record is from RNAcentral.